ACUCAGCUUCAGGUUACUCUAAACACAUUGCUGUGUAGACUCUUAUUGAGAUUUUCAUCCUCUCUUUAGGAGUCCCUGGGCUAGUGGUGAGGCCCUGAGUAAAUGACCCCAGCAGCACAUCACCUGCUGCCAGCACUUCCACGCACAAGUUACACAGAAGGACGAAAAAUGGGACAGCAGAGUCGGGGCCAAGCCUCCAAUUGAUGGAUAAGCUACCAUGAGUCGAUCCCGAUUCCUCAAUUCUCUGCAGACUGCAGGGAUUUCGGGUGUGACAGGGGUAGGCCCCCCGGGGGAAGAAAAUGCAGCAGCAAGGAGAGCCUGUGAGGCAGGAGCGGCCCUGACCGUGCUGUUGUCUCCAUUGCUGGGCACAGCCCUGUGCAACCCCUGGGUGCCCAGAUCAUUGGUAAGCAAACAGACAGGAGGGCAAAGCUAGAGAGGGCUCCAGAGUUUGGGUGGUCAUAGUUUGAGUCCUUGCUAGACGUGCCACAGUGACACCAACAGGAGAGGUCCUCUUACGGUGCAGAUUCUCUGUGAUUGACCAACAGUGGUUGCUGGCUGGGUUGGCAACAGAUGAAGAAACAGCCAGAGUAGAGAGAGGCAGGGAUGGGGUGGGGAGAGACAGAGAUAGAAAGGGAGGGAUGGGGUGGGGAGAGACAGAGACAGAGAGAGG
Molecule: long non-coding RNA, 670 nt
Filed under: Vulpes vulpes (red fox)
Lineage: Eukaryota; Metazoa; Chordata; Mammalia; Carnivora; Canidae
Description: lncRNA (ENSVVUG00000015564.1)
Source: RNAcentral